Molecule: ribosomal RNA, 608 nt
Filed under: Bacillus velezensis
Lineage: Bacteria; Bacillati; Bacillota; Bacilli; Caryophanales; Bacillaceae
Description: bacterial SSU rRNA
Rfam family: Bacterial small subunit ribosomal RNA
Source: RNAcentral
AGAUGGGAGCUUGCUCCCUGAUGUUAGCGGCGGACGGGUGAGUAACACGUGGGUAACCUGCCUGUAAGACUGGGAUAACUCCGGGAAACCGGGGCUAAUACCGGAUGGUUGUUUGAACCGCAUGGUUCAGACAUAAAAGGUGGCUUCGGCUACCACUUACAGAUGGACCCGCGGCGCAUUAGCUAGUUGGUGAGGUAACGGCUCACCAAGGCGACGAUGCGUAGCCGACCUGAGAGGGUGAUCGGCCACACUGGGACUGAGACACGGCCCAGACUCCUACGGGAGGCAGCAGUAGGGAAUCUUCCGCAAUGGACGAAAGUCUGACGGAGCAACGCCGCGUGAGUGAUGAAGGUUUUCGGAUCGUAAAGCUCUGUUGUUAGGGAAGAACAAGUGCCGUUCAAAUAGGGCGGCACCUUGACGGUACCUAACCAGAAAGCCACGGCUAACUACGUGCCAGCAGCCGCGGUAAUACGUAGGUGGCAAGCGUUGUCCGGAAUUAUUGGGCGUAAAGGGCUCGCAGGCGGUUUCUUAAGUCUGAUGUGAAAGCCCCCGGCUCAACCGGGGAGGGUCAUUGGAAACUGGGGAACUUGAGUGCAGAAGAGGAGAGU